UAAUAAGUGUUUUAUGGCACUUUUUAAAUCCAUAUCCACCUUGUGUGCAAUGUCAGUCGAUCUUCUUCAUGGAGAUCGACCAAACAUCAACCUUUAUCUUUUAACUCUUUGUCUUAAUAAAUAUUAUGAAUAAACAAUUCAAAAUA
RNAcentral lists this unclassified non-coding RNA (146 nucleotides) under soil metagenome. Its description in RNAcentral is "partial internal transcribed spacer 1". The record is from RNAcentral.